AUUGGGAGCAACAGUUCAGUCAGACCAACGGUGUUCAACUCUCUCUCUCUCAAGUUCGCCGCUCCUAAUGCUGGAUGGUGGAGGAUGACUAGCUGCAACCGGGAGGUUUAUGGAUGAAUGGAUGGCAGUGAAGCACAGCACACGUGGAUUUCUAAGUGGAUAAAUAAAUUGCACUUUCAAACUGAAGAAGUUGUCCAUGGCCUACCUACGUUUUCACUGGAUGGUGGACGAUGACUGCAACCGGGAGGUGUAUGGAGGGAUGCUAUACGGAAUGGAUGGCAGUGAAGCACAGCACACGUGGAUUUCUGAAUUAAGAGUGGAUGAAUAAAUGCACUUGCUUUUCAAACUGAUAA
Molecule: long non-coding RNA, 353 nt
Organism: Sardina pilchardus (European sardine)
Lineage: Eukaryota; Metazoa; Chordata; Actinopteri; Clupeiformes; Clupeidae
Exons: 3
Source: RefSeq, a predicted model, not a curated record